GAUGGGCAUGGUGGCGCAUGCCUGUAAUCCCUGUAGCUCAGGAGGCUGAGGCAGGAGGAUUGCAAGCUCAAAGUCAAAGUCAGCCUCAGCAUUUUAGUGAGGCCCUAAGCAACUUAGUGAGACCCUGCCUCAA
Molecule: small RNA, 133 nt
Filed under: Marmota monax (woodchuck)
Lineage: Eukaryota; Metazoa; Chordata; Mammalia; Rodentia; Sciuridae
Source: RNAcentral